GAUAAUCAUUUACUUGGUGAGUCAAUACAAACUUGGUGAAGAAUUGAGGAAUGACCGAUACAAGGUAUAAAAUGGAUAUUAGAAUUCCAUGAUGAAUAAAAAUAUCUGCUUGCUUAAUUGCCCUGGAAGUACUUAUUGAUACUUUUUUCACUCUUCUUAAUAAUUUGUAUAAAUACAUCUCAGUACUCCAGUUUGAAUCGUCUGAUAUGCAGAAUUUAUUUUGAUUUUCUCGGUGCAGGCUAUCAAUUUAACUGGAACAAACAGUAUGAUUCCCAUGGGACUCAUUUGAACUAUUUCUGAACCCUUUUUAUUACACGAACCGUGCCAGUGCUAUCUGGCAACAUCCCCUUAUUUAUGUUUCAUAAAAAAAACAUCCCCUUAUUUAUUCCUCAGAGUUAGUACAUUAUUCAGGUUCAGGAUUUGGACGCGCACAUGCGUCUUGCACGGCGCGCCGACUCACUCUUACCCUAGU
RNAcentral lists this long non-coding RNA (472 nucleotides) under Sorghum bicolor (sorghum). RNAcentral describes it as "long non-coding RNA (SBIC_LNC016726)". Lineage: Eukaryota; Viridiplantae; Streptophyta; Magnoliopsida; Poales; Poaceae. The record is from RNAcentral.